AAGCAGAAGUCAGAGGAUGGAAAAGCAAAAUGGAGGACGUAAAAAUACAUGUGAACGUUUUCACGCCGCGGGCAGUGUGGUUAGCGCGGUCAGGCUAAUGCGCGAGCUGGGAGACGCAUGCUUCACACUACAGUGUUGUGCAAGUUCACAGUUCACAAGAGCAAGCUCAGAGUUCAGAUCGCACAGAUUAAAAUAAACUAGUUCACGUUCAUAGUUCAAGAUUUAGAAUUUUGAAAUAAGUUCAUAGUACCAAAAAAUGGACUAGUGCACGUUCAUUUCUUCCGUUUUUAAAAAUUCUAUUCUAUUCUUUUUCAGUAGAACCUCCUCCUACCCCCACCCCGAGCCCCCCAAUCAUUGCCACUGCCCACUUCCCAAACUAAAUGAUUUACUGUAUACUACUAUAGAAACAAGAUUACUUUUAAAAGCCAAGAAACAACAAUGGUCCUGGCCCGGUCUGUCACCUCCAGCAGGGGGCUUUGGGGGCUGUGUGGCUCGGCUCUUCACAGUCAGCGUGAACGGGACCAGCGCUCGGAGCCGGCCCCGGUGGAACACGGCGCACUCCCAAGCGUUCUGCGCCAGCGUGACGUUCCUCACCACGAGCCGGAACUCGCCCGCGUGCGCCCGUGCCUCGGGGUUGGAGAACAUCUGUUGACUCUGCGUGUUGAUCCACAGCAGUCUGGUGGACUCCGUCACAUGUGAAACGCCACAGACCAGGGAGCCAUUCUCUCCCUCAUUCAGCUCCACGGGCUCGGAGUACACUGCAGGGGCAGACACACACAAUGCUGUGACUUAACAUAACAUAACAUAACAUAACAUAAUGUAGCAUAACACAACACUACACUACACUACACUACACAACACAACCUAACACAACACAACACAACACAACACAACACAACACAACCUAAUACAACACUACACAACACAGCCUAACACAACACAACGCAACAUAACGACAAGAACAGACCAUUCCGCCCAACAAUGCUUGCCAUUUGCCGGACUAAAUUAGUGCUCUGAUUACCCACAGACUGGACAGUGUCUAACACUGUAUCAAGCUUGGUCUUGAAAAUCCCCAGAGUUUCUGCCUCUACUACAUGACCUUGCUGGUUAUUCCACACAUUGACUACUCUUUGUGUGAAAAAAUUCUUCCUAAUUCAUACUACAUUGUAAAUGGUCACAUACCAUAGAUAGUAUGGGUUGCAUGUGGAUGAGAAAACAUCAAUUAUGGAGUAUAUUACACUCUCCAUAGUCAUGUGCAUCAGAUACAUGCAUCAAGUCCCAUACAUUUUUACAUGUGCUAAUACUAGUACCAGUGCAAUAGUCUGAACCACGGCUGCCCAACCCUGCUCUACCAUCCUGUAGGUUUGGAGAUCUACUGGCCUGUACCUCUUCACUCCAACCCUAACAAAGCACACCUCAUUCAACGGCUAGAGAUCAUCUCAUAGAGCUGCCAAUUAGUAGAGUCUAGUGUGGCAAAUUAAGUUCGAAAUGAAAACCUAUAGGACGGUAGAUCUCCAGGAACAGGGUUGGGCAGCCCUGGUCCAAACGCAGUUUGGCAUGCUAAUACCAUUUAAAUUCCACAAAAAUUACAUUCCGUUUUUAAAGAGUAAACACAUUUUCUGUCUCCGUUUCUUAUUGAAAUGUAGCCAAACAUGAGAGCUCAGGGCUGAGUAGGUCUGCUGCAGAGGAUUUGCUGGAAGAUUAAAUUUAUUUUUGUAAAAAGCAUUUUUGCAGUUCUUAAAUAAGCGUAAUAGUGGGGAAUGUAUAAUGGCUGACAUUACCUUUCACUGUAAUUAUUUCAUAAGUGCAUUGUUUGACAUGUUUGUUGCCAUCACAAAGAGCGCAUCGGUAUUGUCCAGAGUCAUUCCAGAGCAGAGGGGAGAUGCUCAGUGAAAAUUUGUUGUCGGACCCACUCUUUACUUCAGAUCGAUUUCCAAAGUGCUCCAGGUCUGAGCCAGACCGUUUGCAGUCUCCUUUAGACCCAGUCUGUCCUGAGCCAGACCGUUUGCAGUCUCCUUUAGACCCAGUCUGUCCUGAACCAGACCGUUUGCAGUCUCCUUCAGACCCAGUCUGUCUCCAGCUCCAAAAGCCCUGAAACGUUGCUGCUGUUAGAGCAUCACAAGAGAGAUGCAACGAGCCGGUCCUGCUGAUUCUGUAUACAGGAAUCCACGGGCUAUCCUUUACACCUGGGAAAAAAUAAUACAUUUGCUUGAUAUGUAUGUAUGUAAGUAAAGUAUGUAUGUGCAUAUAAUUGCAGUCAAAAUUAUAUUCAAACAAAGUUGCAUAUGUUUCCGCUUAUAUAAUUUAUAAAAUUGAAAUGAUUAUUUAACUAGUUUUCAGCUCAGUAUAUGUAAUUUGUAAUAUUUAAUUCAAUAUGGUAAUAUUUCAAUCUGUAAUAUGUGAUUCAAUACUGUAUUUACUCAGCUGUAUUUCCAGUUUCACUGCAGUUUCCCCUGUUCCAUUGAUACAGUAGUAACGGCCUUCAUUCAUCUCCUGGACGUUUUCCACCAGCAGAUAUGCAGUGUUGUUGACCACUAAUGUCUUGAUGUUACUUGAUGGCUUGGUGACCCAUCUCCACUUCGGAAGAAAACUUGUCUCUGAUCUGCAAUGUAACGUGGCAUCCAAUCCACGCGGUACUUGGAUGACUUCAUCCAGCAGAACAAACAUUAAAAUAGUUUCCACGCAUUCACAAAUAAUUCAGCCAAAUACGCACCAACCAAUUCUUGAAAUCAGAUGGAAAUAUUAUGCCCUUCUACACCCGAAAGCUUUUCACAAGAGAUGACCAUUACUCUGAAACAGCCCUGCUAUGUAACCCUUUCGAUUGUCAGAUGUUAACUUACCUUUUGCAAAAACAGGAGUAUAUCCUGGUGUAAGAAACAACAGAAUCCAGCAACCAAUGGUAAAAUGAUGAAUCAUUGUUCAAUAUUGAAGGUUGUGUCUGAUGGCGUCAGGGAUUACUGCUUAUGAGCAAAGCAGAGUGGAACUCCAUAUCACGCUUCCUCUCAGCAAGGAGGUGGGUGCAGUAAUAUCAUUUCACCCUGUAAGAGAUAUAUAUAUAUAUAUUUAUACGUCACAGAAGGAAGCUAACCGUAGCCACCAACUGUGGGAUAGUCGCUUCCUUUUGUCACUCAGUAAAGCAAACAAAAAAACUCAAGUCCAGUUAGAAAGAGCCUGCUUGUCAUCAUUUGAUUUCAAAAGCAAAGUAUAAUUUAUUAAAAUGUGCAGUACCCUUC
Molecule: long non-coding RNA, 3233 nt
Organism: Anguilla rostrata (American eel)
Lineage: Eukaryota; Metazoa; Chordata; Actinopteri; Anguilliformes; Anguillidae
Exons: 2
Source: RefSeq, a predicted model, not a curated record